This 1140-nucleotide long non-coding RNA is filed under the name Homo sapiens (human). RNAcentral's name for it is "non-protein coding lnc-LYST-4:2". The record is from RNAcentral. Lineage: Eukaryota; Metazoa; Chordata; Mammalia; Primates; Hominidae.
GGAGUGCGCGGCGGCCGCAGCUGCCACAAACCAGGUGAAGCUUUGUUCUAAGAAUAUUUGUUUCAUCUAGUUUAUGAGUCCAAAUGAUAUAGACUGUAAAUGUCACAGCAGUGGUGAAAGACUGCUCGGUCAUGAGCACCGACAGUAACUCACUGGCACGUGAAUUUCUGACCGAUGUCAACCGGCUUUGCAAUGCAGUGGUCCAGAGGGUGGAGGCCAGGGAGGAAGAAGAGGAGGAGACGCACAUGGCAACCCUUGGACAGUACCUUGUCCAUGGUCGAGGAUUUCUAUUACUUACCAAGCUAAAUUCUAUAAUUGAUCAGGUAACAUUUUUAUAUCAAAUACUUACUUUCAUCAAUAUAUGAUAGUUAACUGUAGCUACAUGGUUUUGGAUUACAUAGUUUCUGAAGCCUCCUUGAGAUAAAGUCCAGUCUUUCACAUUAUUCCACUAAAAAAAAAGUGGACCUAUUUAUAACCAUAUUGUUUAUUUGAAUACUUUCAAAACGUCUGAAAUAUCUUAGAAUUAUGAAUUGCCUAAGAACUAAAUGGUUUCAUAUAUACUAUGCUUUUUAUCGUAAUAUCAGUGAGAUAACUAUGGUUCUUAGUAGAAAUAUAAGACAUAAUCUUAUAUCCCUGUAUCUUAUGUCAGAAACAUGAUGAAUUUUCAUUUUCAAUAAAUAUCAAGUAUGUUUUUGAAAAAUUUUUGGAGGCUGCUAAUUCUGGAGUGAAAGCAGAGACCUCUUAUGUGAACUAAUAAUUACUGAGUCCUUUAGCUUGUAUACAUCUAAUUUAUCAAACGUUUUUGGCUUAAAGUAUGGUAUGACCAUAUGGUUUUGCUGUUUUCUUAUUAUAAAAUUAACAGAGUUUUAAAACUAGUUGAGACUAGAUGUUUUCAUCUAACCUUCUUUUACAGAUGAGAAAACAGAUCCAGAAACAUUAAGUACUCACAUAAAUUAAUUUUAAGGCCAAAUGUGAUUUAUAUCUUUAUUUCAUUUUAGUAGAAAAUGAAUAAUUAUUUUGUGAUCGUAAAACUCUACAAUCUGCUUUCAGGGAACUAAUUAAUAUAGUUAGUUGAAAAAAUAAUGAAGUGUUUGUAACACCAAUAUGAUGGAUUUUUUUUAACACUUUGAAUGUUACCAG